This 764-nucleotide long non-coding RNA is filed under the name Felis catus (domestic cat). RNAcentral describes it as "lncRNA (ENSFCAG00000053527.1)". The record is from RNAcentral. Lineage: Eukaryota; Metazoa; Chordata; Mammalia; Carnivora; Felidae.
CCUUUCCCUUAACUUGUGCUGCCUUUUCUUUUUCCAUACUGCGUAUUGUAAUUUUGUCACACCAUACGUUUAGCACAGCUUCUGGUUUCUGUUUCCCUGUGACAGGAUAAAAGCCCCCCAGGGGCAGGGAUACUGGUUCUCUGAUGUAUCCUAAGUGCUUGGAAUAGCACCCAAUGCAUAGUAGGGACACAAUAGUAUUUGCUGAUUAAAGAAUGAACGGAUGUUGUGCCGGGGAAGACAAAGAUAGAGAAAGAUGGCCGUGUUGGCAGUUUGAAAGCUGAUACAACACAAAAAGCAAUGUGGAACUGUAAAUAAGAACAGCAUGAAUCAAAGAGACAGAAUGCUGCGAGAUGUGAUUACGGUAUCCAGAGUUCCAUCUGAACCUAUUGGGUUUACAUUCAUCUUUUCAGGCACGUGUAGAUACGUGAAAUGUCGGAUCCAGCUCUGAGGAUUUGAACCAUAGACCAGAUCUCUGGAGAGGAGACAGAUGUUCAAAGACAAAUUUCAGUAAAUCAUUCAGUGUGAAGUAUGAGCCUCAAGUCAAAUUCUGCCAGUGGAACUGAUGAGAGGUGGCGAAUGACUCAAAUGGAGGAGAAGAGAGAUUGGCAAGCUGGAGUGGGUUUGUGGAAAGGACUUCAUGUGAGUCCAGAUCAAGAAGCAAAAUGAAAAGAAUGAAAUUCUUGGACGGUUCUGUUUACAAGUUAAAACCUACAAUUUACCCCUAGAGGGCGCUCUUCACUUUGUUAUCUCUCAGAAGCCUUGCC